RNAcentral lists this ribosomal RNA (347 nucleotides) under uncultured bacterium. RNAcentral's name for it is "bacterial SSU rRNA". It matches the Rfam family "Bacterial small subunit ribosomal RNA", at positions 8 to 353 of the family's 1533-position model. The record is from RNAcentral.
AGAGUUUGAUCAUGGCUCAGGACGAACGCUGGCGGCACGCCUAGCACAUGCAAGUCGAACGGAGAUAUUAGCUUCGGUUAAUAUCUUAGUGGCGGACGGGUGAGUAACACGUGAGCAACCUGCCUCUAAGAACGGGAUAGGCUUCUGGAAACGGAUGGUAAUACCGUAUAAUGUAUUGGGAAGGCAUCUUUCUAAUACCAAAGAUUUAUCGCUUAGAGAUGGGCUCGCGUCUGAUUAGCUAGAUGGUGAGGUAACGGCCCACCAUGGCGACGAUCAGUAGCCGGACUGAGAGGUUGAACGGCCACAUUGGGACUGAGACACGGCCCAGACUCCUACGGGAGGCAGCA